Lynx canadensis (Canada lynx) is the source of this 109-nucleotide small nuclear RNA. Lineage: Eukaryota; Metazoa; Chordata; Mammalia; Carnivora; Felidae. The record is from Ensembl.
GUACUCUGCUCACUCUGGCAGCACAUAUACUAAAACUGGAACGAUACGGAGAUAGGCAUGGCCCCUGUGCAAGGAUGACAGGAAAAUUCAUGAAACAUUCCAUAUAUUU